GAGCCAUUAGCUCAGUCGGUAGAGCAUCUGACUUUUAAUCAGAGGGUCGGAGGUUCGAAUCCUCCAUGGCUCACUA
This 76-nucleotide transfer RNA is filed under the name Caldibacillus thermoamylovorans. Its description in RNAcentral is "Bacillus thermoamylovorans tRNA-Lys". It matches the Rfam family "tRNA". From Rfam's summary of the family: Transfer RNA (tRNA) molecules are approximately 80 nucleotides in length. Their secondary structure includes four short double-helical elements and three loops (D, anti-codon, and T loops). RNAcentral also lists the same sequence under 1 other name. Lineage: Bacteria; Bacillati; Bacillota; Bacilli; Caryophanales; Bacillaceae. The record is from RNAcentral.